Molecule: ribosomal RNA, 419 nt
Filed under: bacterium
Lineage: Bacteria
Description: partial 16S ribosomal RNA
Rfam family: Bacterial small subunit ribosomal RNA
Source: RNAcentral
UGGGGGAUAUUGCACAAUGGGCGAAAGCCUGAUGCAGCGACGCCGCGUGGGGGAUGAAGGCCUUCGGGUUGUAAACUUCUUUUGCUCUGAACAAGGCAUGCUAAUGGGUGUGUUGAGUGUAGGGGUUGAUUAGCGCCGGCUAACUACGUGCCAGCAGCCGCGGUAAUACGUAGGGCGCGAGCGUUGUCCGGAAUUAUUGGGCGUAAAGGGCUUGUAGGUGGCUGGUUGCGUCUGUCGUGAAAGCUCAUGGCUUAACUGUGGGUUUGCGGUGGGUACGGGCUGGCUUGAGUGCAGUAGGGGAGGCUGGAAUUCCUGGUGUAGCGGUGGAAUGCGCAGAUAUCAGGGGGAAUACCGGUGGCGAAGGCGGGUCUCUGGGCUGUUACUGACACUGAGGAGCGAAAGCAUGGGGAGCGAACAGG